GGAUUGAACGCUGGCGGCAUGCCUUACACAUGCAAGUCGAACGGCAGCACGGGAGCAAUCCUGGUGGCGAGUGGCGAACGGGUGAGUAAUACAUCGGAACGUGCCCAAUCGUGGGGGAUAACGCAGCGAAAGCUGUGCUAAUACCGCAUAAGAUCUACGGAUGAAAGCAGGGGAUCGCAAGACCUUGCGCGAAUGGAGCGGCCGAUGGCAGAUUAGGUAGUUGGUGAGGUAAAGGCUCACCAAGCCUUCGAUCUGUAGCUGGUCUGAGAGGACGACCAGCCACACUGGGACUGAGACACGGCCAGACUCCGUACGGGAGCAGCGAGUGGGGAAUUUGGACAAGUGGGACGAAAGC
Molecule: ribosomal RNA, 355 nt
Filed under: uncultured soil bacterium
Lineage: Bacteria
Description: bacterial SSU rRNA
Rfam family: Bacterial small subunit ribosomal RNA
Source: RNAcentral